GACGAACGCUGGCGGCGUGCUUAACACAUGCAAGUCGAGCGGUAAGGCCCUUUCGGGGGUACACGAGCGGCGAACGGGUGAGUAACACGUGGGUGACCUGCCCUUAGCUCUGGGAUAAGCCUGGGAAACUGGGUCUAAUACCGGAUAUGACUCCAUAACGCAUGUUGUGGGGUGGAAAGCCUUGUGCGGCUAGGGAUGGGCCCGCGGCCUAUCAGCUUGUUGGUGGGGUGAUGGCCUACCAAGGCGACGACGGGUAGCCGGCCUGAGAGGGCGACCGGCCACACUGGGACUGAGACACGGCCCAGACUCCUACGGGAGGCAGCAGUGGGGAAGUCUUGCGCAAUGGGCGAAAGCCUGACGCAGCGACGCCGCGUGGGGA
Molecule: ribosomal RNA, 379 nt
Filed under: uncultured bacterium
Lineage: Bacteria
Description: bacterial SSU rRNA
Rfam family: Bacterial small subunit ribosomal RNA
Source: RNAcentral